RNAcentral lists this ribosomal RNA (253 nucleotides) under uncultured bacterium. RNAcentral describes it as "partial 16S ribosomal RNA". It matches the Rfam family "Bacterial small subunit ribosomal RNA", at positions 524 to 776 of the family's 1533-position model. The record is from RNAcentral.
UACGUAGGUGGCAAGCGUUGUCCGGAUUUACUGGGCGUAAAGAGCGCGCAGGCGGUCGUUCAAGUCGCGUGUGAAAGCCCCCGGCUCAACUGGGGAGGGUCACUCGAUACUGAUCGACUUGAAGGCAGGAGAGGGAAGCGGAAUUCCCGGUGUAGUGGUGAAAUGCGCAGAUAUCAGGAGGAACACCGAUGGCGAAGGCAGGUCUCUGGGCAUUAACUGACGCUGAGGAGCGAAAGCAUGGGGAGCGAACAGG